AUUGAACGCUAGCAGGAUGCUUUACACAUGAAAGUAGCACGAGUGGCGGCCGGGUGAGUAAUAUAUAGAAACGUGCCCAGUAGAGGGGGCUAACUACUACCAAGAGUGGCUAAUACCGCAUACUAUUGGAGCGGCCGAUAUCGGAUUGGCUAGUUGGUGGGGUAAAGGCUCACCAAGGCAACGAUCCGUCGCUGGUUUGAGAGGACGACCAGCCACACUGGGACUGAGACACGGCCCAGACUCCUACGGGAGGCAGCAGUGGGGAAUUUUGGACAAUGGGGGAAACCCUGAUCCAGCCAUCCCGCGUGUAUGAGAAGGCCUUCGGGUUGUAAAGUACUUUUGGCAGAGAAGCGGUAUCUGCAGAAUAAGCACCGGCUAACUACGUGCCAGCAGCCGCGGUAAUAC
RNAcentral lists this ribosomal RNA (405 nucleotides) under uncultured bacterium. Its description in RNAcentral is "partial 16S ribosomal RNA". It matches the Rfam family "Bacterial small subunit ribosomal RNA", at positions 30 to 526 of the family's 1533-position model. The record is from RNAcentral.